UAGAGUUUGAUCCUGGCUCAGGAUGAACGCUAGCUACAGGCUUAACACAUGCAAGUCGUGGGGAAACGACCGGGAAGCUUGCUUUCCGGGGCGUCGACCGGCGCACGGGUGAGUAACGCGUAUCCAACCUGCCCCAAAGUAGGGAAUAAUCCGUAGAAAUGCGGUCUAAUGCCCUAUGUGGUGACAAGAAGACAUCCGAUUGUCACUAAAGGUCCGCCGCUUUGGGAUGGGGAUGCGUCUGAUUAGAUUGUUGGCGGGGCAACGGCCCACCAAGUCCACGAUCAGUAGGGGUUCUGAGAGGAAAGUCCCCCACAUUGGAACUGAGACACGGUCCAAACUCCUACGGGAGGCAGCAGUGAGGAAUAUUGGUCAAUGGAGGCAACUCUGAACCAGCCAAGUAGCGUGCAGGACGACGGCCCUAUGGGUUGUAAACUGCUUUUAUAAGGGGAUAAAGGAUGCCACGUGUGGUGUUUUGCAUGUACCUUAUGAAAUAAGGACCGGCUAAUUCCGUGCCAGCAGCCGCGGUAAUACGGAAGGUCCGGGCGUUAUCCGGAUUUAUUGGGUUUAAAGGGAGCGCAGGCGGGCGAUUAAGCGUGACGUGAAAUGCAGCGGCUCAACCGUAUGAAGUGCGUCGCGAACUGGUUGCCUUGAGUGAGUUCGACGUGCGCGGAAUUCGUGGUGUAGCGGUGAAAUGCUUAGAUAUCACGAAGAACCCCGAUUGCGAAGGCAGCCGACGAGUCCUUAACUGACGCUAAAGCUCGAAAGUGCGGGUAUCGAACAGGAUUAGAUACCCUGGUAGUCCGCACGGUAAAC
Molecule: ribosomal RNA, 813 nt
Filed under: uncultured bacterium
Lineage: Bacteria
Description: bacterial SSU rRNA
Rfam family: Bacterial small subunit ribosomal RNA
Source: RNAcentral